Molecule: ribosomal RNA, 254 nt
Filed under: uncultured bacterium
Lineage: Bacteria
Description: partial 16S ribosomal RNA
Rfam family: Bacterial small subunit ribosomal RNA
Source: RNAcentral
UACGGGGGGGGGCAAGCGUUGUUCGGAAUUACUGGGCGUAAAGGGCUCGUAGGCGGCCAACUAAGUCGGAUGUGAAAUCCCCAGGCUUAACCUGGGAACUGCAUCCGAUACUGGAUGGCUUGGAUCCGGGAGAGGGAUGCAGAAUUCCUGGUGUAGCGGUGAAAUGCGCAGAUAUCAGGAGGAACACCGGUGGCGAAGGCGGAUCUCUGGGCCUUGCCUGACGCUGAGGCGCGAAAGCUAGGGGAGCGAACAGG